GGCAUGUGAUAAGAGAAAAAAAAAUUUGAAAAAAGUCUAAGAAAAAGACAAGGAAAAAUAGAGUGGAAAAGAUAAAAAGAAGGGAGGUGAGAAAAAUAGCAAGUAAGGUGUGCUUGUCCUAGGGUUUGAUUUUUCUAUAUGUUGGAGUACAAAAUCAAAUCCUAAGUUGUAAUACUUCUAGAGAGAAUUCUCUUAGCAUGAUCCUAGUGGUAAAAUC
Molecule: long non-coding RNA, 217 nt
Filed under: Elaeis guineensis (African oil palm)
Lineage: Eukaryota; Viridiplantae; Streptophyta; Magnoliopsida; Arecales; Arecaceae
Description: long non-coding RNA (EGUI_LNC012284)
Source: RNAcentral